GAUGAACGCUAGCUACAGGCUUAACACAUGCGAGUCGAGGGGAAACGGCAUCGAAAGCUUGCUUUUGAUGGGCGUCGACCGGCGCACGGGUGAGUAACGCGUAUCCAACCUGCCCAUCACUUGGGAAUAACCUUGCGAAAGUAAGACUAAUGCCCAAUGACAUCCCACGAAGGCAUCCGAAUGGGAUUAAAGAUUUAUCGGUGAUGGAUGGGGAUGCGUCUGAUUAGCUUGUUGGCGGGGUGACGGCCCACCAAGGCAACGAUCAGUAGGGGUUCUGAGAGGAAGGUCCCCCACAUUGGAACUGAGACACGGUCCACACUCCUACGGGAGGCAGCAGUGAGGAAUAUUGGUCAAUGGGCGAGAGCCUGAACCAGCCAAGUAGCGUGCAGGAUGACGGCCCUAUGGGUUGUAAACUGCUUUUAUAAGGGAAUAAAGUGGGUCACGUGUGACUUUUUGCAUGUACCUUAUGAAUAAGGACCGGCUAAUUCCGUG
This 492-nucleotide ribosomal RNA is filed under the name uncultured bacterium. RNAcentral's name for it is "partial 16S ribosomal RNA". It matches the Rfam family "Bacterial small subunit ribosomal RNA", at positions 28 to 507 of the family's 1533-position model. The record is from RNAcentral.